RNAcentral lists this transfer RNA (69 nucleotides) under Ictidomys tridecemlineatus (thirteen-lined ground squirrel). RNAcentral's name for it is "Spermophilus tridecemlineatus (thirteen-lined ground squirrel) tRNA". It matches the Rfam family "tRNA". From Rfam's summary of the family: Transfer RNA (tRNA) molecules are approximately 80 nucleotides in length. Their secondary structure includes four short double-helical elements and three loops (D, anti-codon, and T loops). Further hydrogen bonds mediate the characteristic L-shaped molecular structure. tRNAs have two regions of fundamental functional importance: the anti-codon, which is responsible for specific mRNA codon recognition, and the 3' end, to which the tRNAs corresponding amino acid is attached (by aminoacyl-tRNA synthetases). tRNAs cope with the degeneracy of the genetic code in two manners: having more than one tRNA (with a specific anti-codon) for a particular amino acid; and 'wobble' base-pairing, i.e. permitting non-standard base-pairing at the 3rd anti-codon position. Lineage: Eukaryota; Metazoa; Chordata; Mammalia; Rodentia; Sciuridae. The record is from Rfam by way of RNAcentral.
GGGGUUGUGGCUCAGUGGUAGAGCGCUUGCCUAGCACGUGUGAGGCACUGGGUUUGAUCCUCAGCUCCA